Molecule: ribosomal RNA, 426 nt
Filed under: uncultured bacterium
Lineage: Bacteria
Description: bacterial SSU rRNA
Rfam family: Bacterial small subunit ribosomal RNA
Source: RNAcentral
UCGGGAAUUUUGGGCAAUGGGCGAAAGCCUGACCCAGCAACGCCGCGUGAAGGAUGAAAUCCUUCGGGAUGUAAACUUCGCAAGAAUAGGAAGAAUUAGCGAACGCUAACAUCGUUCGUGAUGACGGUACUAUUUGUAAGCUCCGGCUAACUCCGUGCCAGCAGCCGCGGUAAUACGGGGGGAGCAAGCGUUGUUCGGAUUUACUGGGCGUAAAGGGCGCGUAGGCGGCCAGCGCAAGUCAGUUGUGAAAUCUCCGGGCUUAACUCGGAAAGGUCAACUGAUACUGCGCGGCUAGAGUGCAGAAGGGGCAACUGGAAUUCUCGGUGUAGCGGUGAAAUGCGUAGAUAUCGAGAGGAACACCGGCGGCGAAGGCGGGUUGCUGGGCUGACACUGACGCUGAUGCGCGAAAGCCAGGGGAGCGAACGG